Molecule: long non-coding RNA, 876 nt
Organism: Oreochromis aureus
Lineage: Eukaryota; Metazoa; Chordata; Actinopteri; Cichliformes; Cichlidae
Source: Ensembl
AUGCGAGCGGCGUGAGAAAAACUAUAAAAGAUUAAAAAAAAAGACGGCCUGAAAAUCAGGGACGGUGGUCGCACUGGACACUUUUCAUUGUUGUUAACACUCGCUUUCACUUCAGGUCUUUCAGUGUUAUAACUUCGCACUUUUCCGCAGCUGGCUGACGGACCACAACAACUCUUGAAUGAGUCAGCUGAUUACGAGACGGUCACGUGUUUCAAGUGGGUUCCCGGAAGUCCUUAACGGGUCUCGUCUUUCUGGUACGUUACACAACAAACCAAGGUCAGUAAAUGUGUUUCCUAACAGUUUAAACCUGAUCAUUACUUGGAAUUAAUUCAAUUAAUUAAAAUAUUUAUUUUAAAUGUUUUUUAGCAUGUCUUUCAUUGUUUUCUGUGGUGUUUCCUAUUGUUAUUCCUGGAGUUCAGACUAAACACUGAAUUUUCUGCUCUGAUCACACAGAGGUCAAAGUAAUGCUGGGACAAAACACCACACUUGACAACCCCCUAUCAGCAAGCACUAAGCAAAAGUGGGAAAGAAAAACUCCCUUUUAACAGGAAGAAACCUCCAGCAGACCCAGGCUCACCCCCAACAUCUGCUGCAGCUCUUUAGAGUGAGGAUGGCAGGUUUUCCCCAGAGAAGGUGGAGCUGCAUCUUUUGGGGCGAUCGUGGCUCAAGAGUUGGGAGUUCGCCUUGUAAUCGGAAGGUUGCCGGCUCGGACAGUCUCGGUCGUUGUGUCCUUGGGCAAGACGCUUCACCCGUUGCCUACUGGUGGUGGUCAGAGGGCCCGGUGGCGCCAGUGUCCGGCAGCCUUGCCUCUGUCAGUGCGCCCCAGGGUGGCUGUGGCUACAAUGUAGCUUGCCAUUACCAGUGUGUGAAUGUGUG